This 73-nucleotide transfer RNA is filed under the name Opeltia flavorubescens. RNAcentral describes it as "tRNA-Cys (GCA) (tRNA-Cys-GCA-1-1)". It matches the Rfam family "tRNA". Rfam says of the family: Transfer RNA (tRNA) molecules are approximately 80 nucleotides in length. Their secondary structure includes four short double-helical elements and three loops (D, anti-codon, and T loops). Further hydrogen bonds mediate the characteristic L-shaped molecular structure. tRNAs have two regions of fundamental functional importance: the anti-codon, which is responsible for specific mRNA codon recognition, and the 3' end, to which the tRNAs corresponding amino acid is attached (by aminoacyl-tRNA synthetases). tRNAs cope with the degeneracy of the genetic code in two manners: having more than one tRNA (with a specific anti-codon) for a particular amino acid; and 'wobble' base-pairing, i.e. permitting non-standard base-pairing at the 3rd anti-codon position. The record is from RNAcentral. Lineage: Eukaryota; Fungi; Ascomycota; Lecanoromycetes; Teloschistales; Teloschistaceae.
GGAUUCAUAACUCAGCGGUUAGAGUGUGGGAUUGCAGAUCCCAAUGUCACUGGUUCGAAUCCGGUUGAGUCCU